CAGUGGGGAAUAUUGGACAAUGGGGGCAACCCUGAUCCAGCAAUGCCGCGUGAGUGAUGAAGGCCUUAGGGUUGUAAAGCUCUUUUACCGGGGACGAUGAUGACGGUACCCGGAGAAUAAGCCCCGGCUAACUUCGUGCCAGCAGCCGCGGUAAUACGAAGGGGGCGAGCGUUGUUCGGAAUUACUGGGCGUAAAGGGCGCGUAGGCGGCGAUCCGAGUCAGAUGUGAAAGUCCUGGGCUUAACCUGGGGAUUGCAUUUGAUACUGGAUUGCUUGAAUUCGGGAGAGGAUAGCGGAAUUCCCAGUGUAGAGGUGAAAUUCGUAGAUAUUGGGAAGAACACCGGUGGCGAAGGCGGCUAUCUGGACCGACAUUGACGCUGAGGCGCGAAAGCGUGGGGAGCAAACAGGAUAGA
RNAcentral lists this ribosomal RNA (412 nucleotides) under uncultured bacterium. RNAcentral's name for it is "bacterial SSU rRNA". It matches the Rfam family "Bacterial small subunit ribosomal RNA", at positions 352 to 782 of the family's 1533-position model. The record is from RNAcentral.